GCCCUCCUUUUCUGGGAGGAGAGGAAGGAAUGUCUCCUGGACACAGGUGUUGUCGUCUGCGGGGCUUUGAAGCUGAGGCCUUGCCUUGGAGGCUCCUCUCAGGACUUGACAGGCCCUUUUCAAUAGACUAUUCAUCCACUUUGGAGGCACCUGAGAAGCACUGAACAAAGAUGGAAAGAGAAGAGCCAGCUGGCUCCCAGUUAGAAACAUUUUCUCCUGUAGAGGAAGAGAGUGGUGGGGCGUUCUGGGAGGACCCUUGGAAGCAAAACCUGGAAAACAGUCUUCUCCAUUCAGAACUUCAUUGCCUACUCUUCCGACGCUUCCGCUAUGAGAAGGCCUUGGGGCCCCGAGAGGCCUGCAGCCGCCUCCACUCUCUCUGCCACCUGUGGCUGAAGCCCCAGCGACACUCCAAGGCGGAGAUGCUGGACCUGGUGAGAUCCUGGAGCAGUUCCUGGCUGUCCUUCCUGCGGAGAUGGAGCGCUGGGUGAGGGAAUGUGGGGCAGAGACCAGCUCCCAGGCCGUGGCCUUGGCUGAAGGCUUCCUCCUGAGUCGGGCAGAAGAGGAGAGAAAGCAGGAGAAACCCCAGGACUCUGUUGCAGAUGAGACCAAUGAGGUGGAAAAGUCUCUUUCGGGCACCCUUUGCACAGUCCAGGUUGGAGACAGGGAACGCAUCACAGUUGGUAAGG
Anolis sagrei ordinatus is the source of this 686-nucleotide non-coding RNA. Lineage: Eukaryota; Metazoa; Chordata; Lepidosauria; Squamata; Anolidae. The record is from RefSeq and is a predicted model, not a curated record.